Molecule: ribosomal RNA, 305 nt
Filed under: uncultured bacterium
Lineage: Bacteria
Description: bacterial SSU rRNA
Rfam family: Bacterial small subunit ribosomal RNA
Source: RNAcentral
GUUGCCUACGGGGCGCAGCAGUGAGGAAUAUUGGUCAAUGGGCGAGAGCCUGAACCAGCCAAGUCGCGUGAAGGAUGACGGCCCUACGGGUUGUAAACUUCUUUUGUCAGGGAGCAAUUGAGUCCACGUGUGGUCUUAGCGAGAGUACCUGAAGAAAAAGCAUCGGCUAACUCCGUGCCAGCAGCCGCGGUAAUACGGAGGGCGCGAGCGUUAAUCGGAAUUACUGGGCGUAAAGCGCGCGUAGGCUGUUGUGUAAGUUGGGGGUGAAAUCCCACGGCUCAACCGUGGAACAGCCCUUGAUACUG